Erigeron canadensis is the source of this 2201-nucleotide long non-coding RNA. RefSeq lists it as uncharacterized. NCBI's taxonomy places the organism in Eukaryota, Viridiplantae, Streptophyta, Magnoliopsida, Asterales, Asteraceae. The transcript is spliced from 3 exons. The record is from RefSeq and is a predicted model, not a curated record.
AAUGCUAGCAUUUUCAGCUGGUUGUGGUUCUAGAGUUUGGGAAAGUGACAUAAUCUGACCCUUUUAUGAUCUUGCCCCUUGUUUUUAGUCCUAACUGGUUUCGUCAACCAGUUGACGGAUGUUGUGGGUUGUGAAGGUUGGCCUAGCCAAACCUGUUAGCAUGUCUCGACCCGGUUCCAGUCAUAGUCUACUAACAAGUUGAUCAAUCUAGUGGGCUAUCGAGAAAUUUGAAAUAACAUGACCAGGUUAUGAAACAAGUUAGCAUGUGUUGUUGACUUGUUUAUGACCCUAACCUGUUUAGUUAAUGGGUUGAUGGUUAGUUGGGAAAGGCGCAUGUUGGACCGUUGGGACUCGUUUUUGACCUUACCUAGUUUAGUCUCAAAACGAUAAGCUGUAUAUUUGGCUGGUUUAAAAGUAUCCACAAUGCUAGCAUAUACUGAUGCAAGUUGGGAGAGGCAGCCUAGCUUCUGACCCGUUACGAGACGUGUCUCGGACAGUUUGGACCCGUUUUUGACCUUAUUCAAUCUAGUCCCAAAACGAUAAUUCGUUUAUCUGUUUGGUUAAAAGUAUCCGUAAUGCUAGUAUUUCCAGCCAGUAGUGGUUCCAGAGUUGGAAAAGUGACAUAACCUGACCCAUUUAUGAUAUUGGCCCUUUCUUUUUGGUCCUAAAUGUUUGGUCAAUAGAUUGACGGAUAUUGUGGGUUGUGAUGGUUGACGUAGCCAAACCUGGUAGCAUGUGUCGACCAAGUUUUGAUCAUAGUCUAGUAACUCAUUGUUUUAGUGGGCUAUUGAGACAUCUUAAAUAACAUGACCCGGUUACGAAACAAGUUAGCAUGUGUUGUUGACUUGUUUAUGAACCUAACCUGUUUAGUCAAUGGGGUUGAUGGCCAGUUGUGAAUGGCAGCCUGUCCUCUGACCAUUACGAGACGUGGACCGUUUGGACUCUUUUUUGACGCUAUCCAGUUUUGUCCCAAAACGUUUAUUUCAUGGCCAGUUGUGAAUUGAUUCCGGUUUGUUUUCCCACAAGAGCAUUGAUCAUUGCCAUUUAUAUUGAAAAGCCAUCAAUAACAGCCACCUGAUGUGCAAUACAGCUGUCACUUAUAGAUUUGAUGCCUUUUGAUAGUUGGUUUGUUUUUUUGAUAUAAAAUGGCGAUCCUGGACACGUGUUUUUCAUGUGUUUAUCUGUUUUGGGCAUCCCCUGAAAUUAUGCAGUUCAUUGUAUUUUCUUUGUUGGAAUUUGUUUGUUUUUUAUAUCCACGGGCCACAGAUAAAUAUAUCUUAAGAUGUAAUCAAUCCUUUUGUUUUACAGUAUGCUUUAAGGUGUAGAAAUGAUGGAUCCUUUCUGUCAGAGAAACUGAUAUGUUUAUCACCAUGGUCCAUGGCAACUACAUUGGUGAUUUACCAUAUCCAUGUCAACCCAAUGGUAUGGUAGCUGAUCCAUGGUAACCACAUUGGAAUAUGAUAUUGUAGCAUGGAGGAUAUUCCGAUGUAUAUUGUGGAAGUAUACACAAAUAUGUCAAUGACUCUGUGUUUUGCCUACAGAUGUUACCUGUUUGGUCCAUCAAGUAUUUUUCGCCUAUCUAGUAUCACUUGAAAGAAAAGUAGGUGGUGUUCUUUCUUUUCCUGCUUAUGCUCGUCCACGAUAUGAAGGAAAUGAAGUUUAUAGAAAGAUGAAAUUGAUUCAAUCUAUUAGAAACUGAAUUCAAACGAUGGCCUCGGAAAAGUUUUAAGUUCCGUUCUAGCAAACCAAAUUGAGUUCAAAUUAGAGAGCAGACCUUGAGAGGCUGCCUACUCUUGUCGCGCCAGCAAGCCAAAGUAUCCAGGAUGUUUGGGAGUAGUCCAGGAAUAAAAGAUAUGUGCAACUGAUUUCAUUUCUGGGUCGUCAAUAUAUAAAAAAGCUAUCACGCAAUCUUAUGCACAGUUGCUUGAGACUUAUGGAAGGCUAGAAAUAACAAGAUUUUCAAUCACAGAGUUGCAAUUUUUGCCGGUUAUUGGUGAGAUCAAAGUAUCAAGUUUUGUUUGGGUUAAAAAUAUGGGAAAGAUGGAAAAACUUCCACCUAGCCAAUUUGUCGAUAUAACUUCAGUUUAGUUUAUGCUCUGGUGUCUGCUGUUUCAAUAUAGAUACUCUUGUACCAGUAACUUGCUUGUACUGUAAUAAACACAUUUUGCCCAAAAAAAAUAAAAAAAGUAUGUGAUUGGACA